Molecule: transfer RNA, 92 nt
Filed under: Candidatus Eiseniibacteriota bacterium
Lineage: Bacteria; Candidatus Eiseniibacteriota
Description: tRNA-Ser
Rfam family: tRNA
About the family: Transfer RNA (tRNA) molecules are approximately 80 nucleotides in length.
Source: RNAcentral
GGAGAGGUGGCAGAGUGGUUGAAUGCGGCGGUCUCGAAAACCGUUAAGGCUCGCAAGGGUCUUCGAGGGUUCGAAUCCCUCCCUCUCCGCCA